Molecule: ribosomal RNA, 278 nt
Filed under: uncultured bacterium
Lineage: Bacteria
Description: partial 16S ribosomal RNA
Rfam family: Bacterial small subunit ribosomal RNA
Source: RNAcentral
AACGAACGCUGGCGGCAUGCCUAACACAUGCAAGUCGAACGAGACCUUCGGGUCUAGUGGCGCACGGGUGCGUAACGCGUGGGAAUCUGCCCUUGGGUUCGGAAUAACUCGCCGAAAGGCGUGCUAAUACCGGAUGAUGUCGUAAGACCAAAGAUUUAUCGCCCAGGGAUGAGCCCGCGCAACAUUAGCUAGUUGGUGAGGUAACGGCCCACCAAGGCGAUGAUGUUUAGCGGGGUUGAGAGACUGAUCCGCCACACUGGGACUGAGAUACGGCCCAG